Molecule: ribosomal RNA, 253 nt
Filed under: uncultured bacterium
Lineage: Bacteria
Description: partial 16S ribosomal RNA
Rfam family: Bacterial small subunit ribosomal RNA
Source: RNAcentral
UACGGAGGAUGCGAGCGUUAUCCGGAUUCAUUGGGUUUAAAGGGUGCGUAGGCGGACUAUUAAGUCAGUGGUGAAAUCCUGCAGCUUAACUGCAGAACUGCCAUUGAUACUGAUAACCUUGAGUGUGAUUAAUGCCGGCGGAAUGCGACAAGUAGCGGUGAAAUGCUUAGAUAUUACACAGAACACCAAUUGCGUAGGCAGCUUACUGAGCCGACACUGACGCUGAGGCACGAAAGCGUGGGGAUCGAACAGG